CCUACGGGCGGCUGCAGUGAGGAAUAUUGGUCAAUGGGCGCGAGCCUGAACCAGCCAAGUCGCGUGAGGGAAGACGGUCCUAUGGAUUGUAAACCUCUUUUGUCGGGGAGCAAAAGCUGCCACGCGUCGCGUUAUGAGUGUACCCGAAGAAAAAGCAUCGGCUAACUCCGUGCCAGCAGCCGCGGUAAUACGGAGGAUGCGAGCGUUAUCCGGAUUUAUUGGGUUUAAAGGGUGCGCAGGCGGAAGGUCAAGUCAGCGGUAAAAUUGCGGGGCUCAACCCCUUCGAGCCGUUGAAACUGGGUGUCUUGAGUGAGCGAGAAGUAUGCGGAAGGCGCGGUGUAGCGGUGAAAUGCAUAGAUAUCACGCAGAACUCCGAUUGCGAAGGCAGCAUGCCGGCGCCAAACUGACGCUCAGGCACGAAAGUGUGGGUAUCGAACAGGAUUAGAUACCCGAGUAGUC
This 459-nucleotide ribosomal RNA is filed under the name uncultured bacterium. RNAcentral's name for it is "partial 16S ribosomal RNA". It matches the Rfam family "Bacterial small subunit ribosomal RNA", at positions 338 to 795 of the family's 1533-position model. The record is from RNAcentral.